Molecule: ribosomal RNA, 553 nt
Filed under: Chiasmocleis sp. CRBIIAP2507_MCP14084
Lineage: Eukaryota; Metazoa; Chordata; Amphibia; Anura; Microhylidae
Also listed under: 1 other name
Description: partial large subunit ribosomal RNA
Rfam family: Bacterial large subunit ribosomal RNA
Source: RNAcentral
CGCCUUCUGAAAAAAUAUAGAAGGUCCAGCCUGCCCAGUGACCAAGUUAAACGGCCGCGGUACCCUGACCGUGCGAAGGUAGCGCAAUCACUUGUUCUUUAAAUGAGGACUAGUAUGAACGGCAUCACGAGGAUUAUACUGUCUCCCUCCUUCAAUCAGUGAAACUGAUCCCCCCGUGAAGAAGCGGGGAUUAACCUAUAAGACGAGAAGACCCUAUGGAGCUUUAAACUUAGUACCACAUACCUAAAUACACACCCUAACAAACAGGUAUGGCCUGGACACUAGUUUUAGGUUGGGGUGACCGCGGAGCAAAAUAAAACCUCCACGAUGAGCUAUUAUUUAUAAUCUAAGAGCAACAUCUCAAAGAAUCAAUAAAUUGACAUUCAUUGACCCAAACUAAUUUGAUCAACGAACCAAGUUACCCUAGGGAUAACAGCGCAAUCCAUUUCAAGAGCUCAUAUCGACAGAUGGGUUUACGACCUCGAUGUUGGAUCAGGGUAUCCCAGUGGUGCAGCCGCUACUAAAGGUUCGUUUGUUCAACGAUUAAAACCCU